AUUUAUAUAGUUUAAUAAAACAUUACAUUUUCAUUGUAAAAUUAGAAUUUUUUCUUAUAAAUA
This 63-nucleotide transfer RNA is filed under the name Chaetocnema confinis. Its description in RNAcentral is "tRNA-Glu". Lineage: Eukaryota; Metazoa; Arthropoda; Insecta; Coleoptera; Chrysomelidae. The record is from RNAcentral.